UCGCCAGAAUCACAACACUGAAAAUGUAAUGACUCCAGCCUGGAGGCACCAGCACCCCUUUGUGUUCACUUAGUCCACCAUUACUGGCAGACUGAAGUCUGUCUGAAAGGCAGGAAACCCCCGAGUUCUAAUUCUGAUGUCAGCAGUGACUCCAGCUUAACCACUUAACUUCUCUGCCUCAGCCUCCUUCACUGCAACAUGGAGAUAACAGAACUUCACAACUGGUCUAUUGUACUGAAAUACCAGCUGCCUACUUCUGCCGACAGAUGAUUUUGAAACAGCAUAGUUUGCCUUUGGGACCUGACAGGCCCCGAAGAAGGCAUUCCUAGCGAAGCUUGAGCGAGAAAGUGAACUCCCCAGGAGCUGAAAUCCCCUCAUCUCUGGAGCUGUCUAUCUGAGCGUUGGACCCAUCCCAAAUGGUUCUGAGUGUGCCCCGGACAGCCCCUGGAAUGGAGAUUCUGAAUUAGGAGACUUGAGUCCAUCCUCCAGGUCUGAAGAAGGAUCUCCCCUGCUCCCUCCAGGGAAGAAUGGGCAUCAGGUGGAAGAUGAAGGGGUGACUAUUGAGAGGCCUAUACCAAUUCCAGAAGAAGAAAGAGCCAGAUUUCAUCCUAGGAACUGGCAGUACUGGAAAGGCCUGAGGGGCUACGCUGCUGGAACCAACACCAUGUGUCUGCCCUGCUCUACCUACAUCCAUGGUGAGGAUUUGUCUUCCUCUUCUGUGACGGCACAUGUAGUAUUGUCUACUUUGUGCUUUUACAAACUUAACACUGCAGCUUUGUUUCAUGCUGCUUGUGUGUUGUGGAUGGUAUUACACACACAAGUACAGACCUUUAGAAUUGUAUGCACACAAUUGCACAUGUAAAAAUGCAUCCCAGUAAUCAUGUAUGCUGAUUUUAUGCAGGCAUUUUUGCCGACACAAAUCUAAACCCCCUGAUCUCUCUUGGGGCACUGAGAACCUUGAACUUCAGCAGUGAAUCAGCACACAUGAAGCAUGUGACCUCUGAUUGAUCGGCAAUAUCUGCCAGCAUUUUAACAUGCGCUAACUUCGUUUAGAGAAAGGGCUUAAACCCUUUAACGUUUUCUCAUCCCUUAUUAGAACACACUAAGUGAGGGCUCCUCAAAGCCAAGAUCAUCUGUGUAGCAAGCUUUCUGAAGUCAGAACUCAAUACAUAUUAAUAUUUCAUGCUAAGUCAAAAAUAUCAGACCAUGUGAAUCCAUUCCUAUCUCACAUGGCUUUCUUCACAAUUGCUCUUAACCCAAUUUCCAGAGCUAUUAGUGUUCAAACACAGUUUGCUCAUUCACAGGCCAGCUCCUGCUAGCUGAUCCUUCUGGGAAAUCAUAGUCAGGGCUUUGGAAUCAGUGCAAGUCUGAGGCACUGUCUUGUAGGGUAUUUAUCCAUAUGGGGUAACAUGCAAGGUAUCUACAGAAAUCUCAUGCCUUAUCAAGACAAUAUAACUGUGCAUAGGUGCUGAAUUCCUCUCUACCUGGGUGUGCUCGACCCCCCCCCCCGCCCCAGCACCACCCACUCUCCACCCCUUCCC
Molecule: long non-coding RNA, 1541 nt
Organism: Terrapene triunguis (Three-toed box turtle)
Lineage: Eukaryota; Metazoa; Chordata; Testudines; Emydidae
Exons: 3
Source: RefSeq, a predicted model, not a curated record